RNAcentral lists this ribosomal RNA (164 nucleotides) under uncultured bacterium. RNAcentral's name for it is "partial 16S ribosomal RNA". It matches the Rfam family "Bacterial small subunit ribosomal RNA", at positions 343 to 524 of the family's 1533-position model. The record is from RNAcentral.
GGGAGGCAGCAGUGGGGAAUAUUGCACAAUGGACGAAAGUCUGAUGCAGCAACGCCGCGUGGAGGAUGACACAUUUCGGUGCGUAAACUCCUUUUAUAUGGGAAGAUAAUGACGGUACCAUAUGAAUAAGCACCGGCUAACUCCGUGCCAGCAGCCGCGGUAAU